Molecule: transfer RNA, 72 nt
Filed under: Bracteacoccus giganteus
Lineage: Eukaryota; Viridiplantae; Chlorophyta; Chlorophyceae; Sphaeropleales; Bracteacoccaceae
Description: tRNA-Phe
Rfam family: tRNA
About the family: Transfer RNA (tRNA) molecules are approximately 80 nucleotides in length. Their secondary structure includes four short double-helical elements and three loops (D, anti-codon, and T loops).
Source: RNAcentral
GCCGGGGUAGCUCAGUGGUAGAGCAGAGGAUUGAAAAUCCUUGUGUCACCAGUUCAAUCCUGGUCCUUGGCA